Letharia columbiana is the source of this 72-nucleotide non-coding RNA. NCBI's taxonomy places the organism in Eukaryota, Fungi, Ascomycota, Lecanoromycetes, Lecanorales, Parmeliaceae. The record is from the annotation of a RefSeq genome assembly.
GGCCCAGUGGUCAAAUGGUUAAGACAUAAUGUUUUCACCAUUAUAGCACGGGUUCGAUUCCCGUCUGGGCUA